RNAcentral lists this ribosomal RNA (505 nucleotides) under uncultured bacterium. Its description in RNAcentral is "partial 16S ribosomal RNA". It matches the Rfam family "Bacterial small subunit ribosomal RNA", at positions 29 to 517 of the family's 1533-position model. The record is from RNAcentral.
AGUGAACGCUGGCGGCGUGCUUAACACAUGCAAGUCGAGCGAAGUGGCAGCUGUAGCAAUACAGUAUGUGCUUAGCGGCAGACGGGUGAGUAACACGUAGACAAUCUACCUUCUAGAGGGGGAUAGCCCGCCGAAAGGCGGGGUAAUACCGCGUAAGAUUGAGACCUGGCAUCGGGACUUAAUGAAACGUCCGCAAGGACGGCUAGAAGAGGAGUCUGCGGCCUAUCAGCUAGUUGGCGGGGUAAUGGCCACCAAGGCAACGACGGGUAUCCGACCUGAAAGGGUGACCGGACACACUGACACUGAGACACGGGUCAGACUCCUACGGGAGGCAGCAGUCGGGAAUUUUGGGCAAUGGGCGAAAGCCUGACCCAGCAACGCCGCGUGAAGGAUGAAAUCCCUCGGGAUGUAAACUUCGCAAGAAUAGGAAGAAUAAAGGAGGGGUUAAUAACCCUUUGAUGACGGUACUAUUUGUAAGCUCCGGCUAACUCCGUGCCAGCCGCCG